AUUGAACGCUGGCGGCAGGCCUAACACAUGCAAGUCGAGCGGAAGAAGAGAGCUUGCUCGUGGAUUCAGGGGGGGAGGGGCGAGCAAUGCCUGGGAAUAUCCGAGGCUGUGGGUUAGAACGUCCUGAAACGGGGGCUAAUACCGCAUAACUCCUGACGAAGUACGGGGGGGAGCAUCGGACCUUCGGACAUCACACGAGUCAAGGUCGGAUUGGCUAGUUGGUGGGGUAAAGGCCUACCAAGGCGACGAUCCGUAACUGGUCUGAGAGGAUGAUCAGUCACACUGGAACUGAGACACGGUCCAGACUCCUACGGGAGGCAGCAGUGGGGAAUAUUGGACAAUGGGCGAAAGCCUGAUCCAGCCAUGCCGCGUGGGUGAAGAAGGCCUUCGGGUUGUAAAGCACUUUAGGUGGGAAGGAAAGGCAGUAAGUUAAUACCUUGCUGUUUUGACGUUACCAACAGAAUAAGCACCGGCUAACUUCGUG
Molecule: ribosomal RNA, 484 nt
Filed under: uncultured bacterium
Lineage: Bacteria
Description: partial 16S ribosomal RNA
Rfam family: Bacterial small subunit ribosomal RNA
Source: RNAcentral